This 1074-nucleotide long non-coding RNA is filed under the name Bos indicus x Bos taurus (hybrid cattle). RNAcentral describes it as "lncRNA (ENSBIXG00000006146.1)". Lineage: Eukaryota; Metazoa; Chordata; Mammalia; Artiodactyla; Bovidae. The record is from RNAcentral.
UUCCUUCAUCUCUCUGAGCUUUGCUGUCCUCAUCUGUAAAAUGGGGAUAAUGAUACCCAUCUCUAAAAUAUGUUCUGAGAAGUAGAUUAGAUAAAUAGAGAUUAUACAUAUUAAGUAUUUAGUGCCCUCAAUGUCAAUUAACAUUGUUAUUAAUUAUAUUGUUAUUACGAAUGACUAAUAAUGACACUCAGGAUUAUUACUAAUGCUACUAUAAGUAAAAAAAAAGCCCAAUUAAAAUUUUUUACUGAGGGAAAUAUCAACAGUUUUAUGAGAGGUAAAUAAAGAAGAGUAACACUGGGUAAGAAAGUAUAUGCACGUGGCCUCAUUUAAUAUUCAAGCAGCUUCACAAGGCAGGCCUUAUUAUCCCCAUUAUACAGAUGGGGAAGUUGAGGCUCCUGGAAGUUGCCUCCAACACACACUGAGUUAGUACCUGGUGUCCUGACCUCCUUUCUUCAAAGUGUCUCUUAAGCUCCAGCUACUCCACACCUGCCAGCCUCAGCAGAGAUGCCUGUAUCUAUUAGGGAAUGCCUUUUCUUCCCCUAGGCUCACCGAAUUACAGGAAAAUGGGAGAGCUCUAGAAAGUGGAUAAAGGUUACCUCCUCCAGGCAGUUUCCUUAUUCUCUCCCUCCUCCCCUUGUAGAACAAACCCUCCCUCUUUGUUCUUCCGGUGCCUGGAGCGUGUGACUGCACACCCUUGUAGGCUGUGUCUCUCCUCCAGGGAGUGUGCUUCUCUGAUGCAGACCCUGUACACUUUUUCACCAUGGGAGGGUAAUGAGAAAUCACAUGUCCUGAACUUGGACUCAGAGAACAGGGAACUCUUCGGUGGGCGGUAGUGUUAUGGCUCGGGAGAUAGUGGAAGACAGAGGAGCCUGGUGUACUGCAGUCCAUGGGAUUGCAGAGUCAGAUGCGACUUAGCCACUGAACAACAACAGCAAGUGUUAUGCAGCCGAUAUGCCAUCUGAGGAACCUGGACUCUUCGAUUUGAAAUGACUCUGAGGGCCCUUCAGGUAUGUAUGUUCACCUGACAGAUGAUGAAUUGUGUGCCAUGAACAAAAGAUGUGGCUCCCAUUCUCC